Molecule: long non-coding RNA, 2196 nt
Filed under: Mus musculus (house mouse)
Lineage: Eukaryota; Metazoa; Chordata; Mammalia; Rodentia; Muridae
Description: long non-coding RNA chr16:43634808-43637004
Source: RNAcentral
AAGAUUUUCUUCUCCAGAGCCCAGCCUCCUUUCUCCCAGGCAGAACCAUAACAGGCCUGAGGGUGUCCUUGCAGUGGUCCACAGAGUUCACCUUCUGUUCACAGGGGUAUUUACAGACCUUAUAGUAGAAGGGUUUCCAAACAGUCUGUAUGGAAAACAUACACAGUACUACUUGGCACUGCGAGCUUUGUGAGACUCAUCUGUUGCCUGGAGGCUUGUAGUCAGAAAUAUCCAUGGAAGGGAGAGUGCGAAGUCAUUUAGAGCCAAACAGGACCGCUGGUGAGAGGAUCAUUGGGCAGUAUGAGUCAAGAGCAGAUCAAGGCUCCGUGUGCCCAGGGCCAAUGGCAGUGGCCUAUGAGGAUGUUAGACAACACAUCAAUGGAGUCACAUUCUGAGAAGCUAAAGUGUGGGCUUUGCUGUAAUGGCUGACAUUGUUGAAAUGUUCGUGCCACAGCAAGGGAACUACUUGGAAGUAGACCUGUUGUGAUAGUGCCUUCUUGUUGUAGCAAGUCAUUUAUUCAGUUAGGCUUUUCUGGACCAUUGCCCCCAUCUUCUGAAGAGGUCUGAGAUGAAGGGAUAGGACACUGCCCCUGAAAUGCUGUGAUUUGAAGAUAUUUGCACUAGAUUCUAUCCUCUCCUUUAAACUGGAGCAACUGAAUGAGAGGGGAAAAAUUAACAAGGACAGCUCAAAAUGAAAAGAAACCCAAAGUAAUGUGUUCUGAUAACAUUAUCUCCCCUCACUGCUACAUCUUUCCUCCCCCCUUCCUCCCUUCCCUCCUAGAUCUACUUUUUUUUCCUUCCUCUUAAAGGAAACUUCCAUUUUCUUAUUACCAAAUCCAACAAUUACUUCUCUUUGUUUCUCCCCAGUACUGAAUCAUAAGCUUAUUAAUCACUCAUGAGCUAGGAAUAUCUAGUAAAGAGCCUCUGCCUUGACAGUGUUGCUGGCCUUCUCUGUCCAUCACGGGUGAACAACGAGGGGUAAUAGGGAGACUAGACUGGCCCAGCUCUUAUGGAAGCCAGAGUCUGGAUUUCACACCUAUAAGGAGAUGACACCUAUUUACCCAGAACACAUAGUCUGCAGCUCAUCUUAAAAGACGCUUAGGAACAAAAGGAAGUUCCUGUGUUACAGCAAACAGAUGCGGUAGUACCCAAAGCUUACCUGUCUCUUCUCUCUCCUCUCUUCCGUCUUACUGCCAUGUCCUCUCAACGAGACUUAAACUUCAUCUCAUGAAUGGCACCAGAAGAACUAUUUGACUCCUUGGCUUCUCUCUUUUUCAGUAGGCUGGUAGCUCAUUCAAAAUUAAAACCAAGCAAAUACUAUUAGUGGCUAGCCCCCUGAGGGCUGAACAAUUUCCCAAGUGUCUUGAUGAUCCCAAUAUCUUGAUAAUCAACUCUGAUAACUUGGAAGUUUUGGCUGGCUCAGACAUCUGUCAACUUUAUUUUCAUUUUGUCUCCAUUUCCAUUUGAAUCUUAAGUGAGAGUGGAAAGGUAGAAUCAUGGGAAAGAUUGUGAGGCUGCAAUUCUAGGGUAGAGUUUGUCAGAAGUUUGUAUUAUCCCAAAUAGAAAUUUCUAUACUUACUUUCAAUUUAAUGUUACCCUGAAUAUAAUUUCUAUUACAUUUAUUGUUAUUUUUAUAAAAAUAGAGUUCAAUUACUAUGUCUAGUUGAGUGCUCUCUUUUCUAUUUUCCCACAUGGAUGCAGUACCAACCUGUUACCUAAAUAUCUUUUUAUUAUAUUGUUAAUAUGUAAUUCUACUGUAGACCAAAAAUAUAAAAACAAAUUUGCUCAUUUUAAACAUAUACAGACUCUAAUGAGUAAAGAUGAGGAGAAAAGACCAGAGAGCAGUGGUUGACUAUGUUGUUAGAAAUCAAAGAGUAGCCUUACCUAUUUUUAACCAGUGCUUGCCGUCACACCAUAGUUAGGACUAUGUUAGCAUGGCUUCUUCAUGCUUACGUUCUGCAAGCCUUGUCUGUCUGUUUCCUUUGAUGUGUUCGAGGUUGCACAAUGAUGCUAUUGUUUUUUUCUUUUGGUAAUGCCUGAUUUUAUUAUAAUGUACUUUAUCAGUCAUUUCCUUUAGAAGAAUGAGGGGGAAAGUUUUAUUUCUUCUUUUAAUUUAAAUUUUGUUUAAUGCACUGGAAAUAAAAUUGGACACAUUUCACUGUUUAAAAAUCAGAAACGAAACAAAACAAAACCCCG